RNAcentral lists this long non-coding RNA (396 nucleotides) under Nicotiana benthamiana. Its description in RNAcentral is "long non-coding RNA (NBEN_LNC008044)". Lineage: Eukaryota; Viridiplantae; Streptophyta; Magnoliopsida; Solanales; Solanaceae. The record is from RNAcentral.
UCAGCCCUAAACUCUGUCGUCUUUGUUCAAGAACUAUCCUAAUGUCGUCUCGUCGAGAGAGCCGCGAUUCUGACUCGAAACGCCACUGUUCCUGUUACGAUAAUACCCUCACGUGUGCUUCAAAAACAACCCUAAUGUUGUCUCAUUUUGAAACUUCUAAAUAGAUAAAGAUUGUAACUUUCCUUGCUUAUAAAGUAGUUUUUCUUAGAAUUGUAGCAUGCGACGGAGUUUUCCGUUGAUGUCCAAAGUUUGUGCAGCUUGAAUUUGAGAUCCUAGGAGGCUUGACAGAGUUCAAGAAAAUUCAAGUUUCUCAGCGGCGGUGGUGAGGUUGAAGCAACAUCAGUAAUUCUUCACCAAAAAACUUUAAUUCUGAAGCAGAGUCUUCGACGAUGGUGA